This 5733-nucleotide long non-coding RNA is filed under the name Homo sapiens (human). RNAcentral's name for it is "non-protein coding lnc-ARL14EP-3:8". Lineage: Eukaryota; Metazoa; Chordata; Mammalia; Primates; Hominidae. The record is from RNAcentral.
AACAUUUGAGAAUUACAGUUCUGUACCUCUGCAAAGAUUUGUAUAUUCUUCCAUUGGUGGGUGAGGGGGCAGGAGGAAAUUCUCUGGGUAGGCUUACAAAAACAAGAUUUUUAAGCGCUUCUGAUGAUUCUGAGCUACAUUUCUGGACUGGAAUUUGAGUGUUUACGUCGCUGUUUCUUGGAUAAUUAAAGAGGGCAGCAAAGGACCAUAAGCAAUUCUCCAAUGGUGAAGAUCGACCCCAGUCAUGUAAAAACACGAGGCAACACAUUUCACUUUUGCUUAAGAAGGAUCUUGCAGAAAGUGAAGAAGAGCAGGAAUAGAGAAGACAUUUGAAUGACGACUGAUGUUCUCUUCUUUGGCCUGAGGUUUUAGAACACAUUCACUGCCUGAUCACUGUGGCCCAGAAGCCAUGGCCUCUGCUGAGAGAUAGGGACCCCAUGUUCCCUCUACACAUCUUCUUCCCCAAAGCCUCUCUGAGGCUCCUAUGUUCAAAGAAACAGUCCUCUGGCAAUGGCCUGGUCCUUUCUGCCAUACCAAAGAAAGUUGUUUUUUGUUUUGAGCAAGAGAUCACUUCUGAUUUUCCUACCUUUGACAUGGACCAGACUAAUUGACAAAUUCUAGAAGGACAGACACUUCCAAACGUCUCUUGACAUACUGGCUUCACAAAGGUUAGGAAAGCUGUUAUGGGGAGGACGGAGCCUUUCUCCUCUUCCUGAGAACGUUUGAAGAAGAAAGGGGCUACUGAGAAGUCUGGUAGAUUCAGCAGCUAGUAAAUAUCGUGUCUAAAUGGGCAUCUUUUAUUAAACUCUGAGGCAGGGUUGGUGUGUUAGGCCAUUCUUUCUUGCUAUAAAGAAAUAUCUGAGACUGGGUAACUUAUAAAGAACAGAGGUUUAAUUGGCUCAUGGUUCUGCAGGCUGCACAGAAAGCAUAAUGACAUCUUCUUCUGGCUAGGCCUCUGGAAGCUUCCAAUGAUGGUGGAAGGCGAAGAGGGAACUUGCGCAUCACAUGGCAAAAGCAGGAGCAAGAGAGAGGCGAGGAGGUGCCGCACACUUUUAAAAGACCAGAUCUCAUGAAAACUCACUAUUGUGAGGACAGCACCAAGAGGAUCGUGCUAAAUUAUUCAAGAGAAAUCCUCCCCCAUGAUCCAGUCACCUCCCACCAGGCCCCACCUCCAACAUUGGGGAUUACAUUUCAACAUGAGAUUUGGAUGGAAACACAUUCAAGCUUUAUCAGCCCAGCUCCGGGAGUUCUUAAACUCAUAAGAAUCUAUGAGCUCCCAGAUUUAUGGGCCUUGAAAUAGACUUUGUAGAAGAACACAUCCCUGAUUAAACGUUACAUCCUGCGAAGACAGACUGUGAAGGCCAGGCCACAAUAGCUGGGGAGACAAUGCAUUUUUUGUUCAGAGCAGCCACCAACAGUGAUGACAAGAGCCAUCAAUGGGCCAAGGUCAAAGAUCAGCAGUCCCUCUGUCACUUCAUUCUUCUUCUGGCUCCCAAUAGAGUCCAUAGGAACUCAAUCUCAGUUCUGAAAUCUAAUCAAAGCUCAUCCACUCAGACCCAAGCCAAGGACACCAAAGAACAAAUUCAUAAGGCAAACAAAGUCUUCACUCAGCCUUCUGCAUUUAGUGAUUGUGGAAAUGUGGUGCAACUGCCAGCUAGAUGAGAGACUUUGGAGGAAAUGGGUGAUUUAAGCCUUGGGAGUGAGGAUUAGCAAGAGAGAUUGAUGAAGAUUCUGGACACAUUUGGGAAGCACCAGAGUGAGAGCGUGCCAUGACUCUCCAGGUGGGCAUCUGAGGAAGCUUAAAAUGAUGAGCCAAAUUAAAAAUAGGAAAUGAGAGCACAGAGGCUGUUUUUGACAAAGUUCCUUACUUCUCUCUGCCUCAUGGAAAACAGGAACAUCAGCCCUUCCUAGACCCGCCCCCCCCAGGCAUGUGUGCGACAUUUGUCCUGGAUGCAGCUAAAAUCCAUCCUUUAUGAUACAGUUUAUUCCUUGAUGCCAUUGUCUGCUAGGAGAUUUCCCGGAUUCUGAAAGUGUGCAAGCAAUACUUUUCAAUUACUGCACAUACACCCUGACACACCAUGUGGCCUUCACCAAUUUGCUGCACAAUCUAUCUUAACAGUAACCACAAAGCAUGCUUCUUGAUAGUAUGGACAAAAUCAUUUCUCUCUUUUGUUGCUUAGGAAUUCUGUUGUAGGCUCAACUUGCUAAACUAGUUGUGCAGAUCAACACAUGAGAGACAGGAGCCUCUCCACUAAAUGAGGGUGGGAAUGAAAGUGAGUAAUGUCUUUGGGGCCCUUGGAAUAGGCCUUUGCUGGUGGAAACCCUGCUCAACAAAGAGAAGAAAGUAUCCAGCACAGGGCUAGGCUUGCAUCAGCAAAGGGAAACCCAGCAACCACAUCAGUGUAAAUGAUUCUGCUAUUCUACCUGGCACCCACUCUUCUUAAUGUGGUAACUUAAUUUGUCUUGGAGAAUAAUUAUGUUUUGAGUGCUAACUAUUGCUAAGCAUUAUGCUCAACACUUUAAAUAAAUGACUUCACUUAAUCCCUACAAUAAUCUUACAAAGCUGAUACGAUCUUGAUUUUGCAGGUGAGAGAAUUGACAUUUGGGCUUAAGAAAUUUUGUUAAAAGCUGGAAUUCAAACACAGGUCUGUGUGAGUUCAAAACCCAUGCCUUCAACCAUAUCAUCAUCAACCUUAGUUUCUAGAAAUACAAAAUCUGCACUCUUUCCUCUGCUGCAGCCUGAGGUAAUUUCUUAGCAGCUAAGGCUGUCACAAAGAACCUCUGCAGGACUGUGGCAGUGGAUUUGGUCACUUUUUAUAGCUCUUGGGAUUCAUUAUGAUAUAUAAUUUUCUUAUUAAAUUUCUAUAAACCUAUAUUGCUUCAAGAUAAAGUUGUUUUCCCCUGUUCUGACCCAUCUUAUGUAUCAUUGCCAGAGGAGUCUCAUAAAGUAUAGCUCAUCUUGUCACUUCUCUGCUCAGAAACCUCCCAAAGCUCCUGGUUGUCCCUGGGGCCACAGUUACUCUUGGAUAUGCAAAGCAGGCUGCACCCUGCCUUUCCAGGAUGACUUUCUAUUCUCUGGUUUUCAACCCUGGGGAUUAAACCAGGCUUUGUGAAUUUCUAGUGCAACCAGGAUUUUAGACUAGAGCUCUGUUCUAAGCACAGUGUGGGUCACUGCAGAAUCUCACUUCAAGAAGGGUCCUGUGGUUUCAUAAAGAUUGGAAAGCACUUCUCUAACUCGACCAUAUUACAAUUCAUUCGACAAUCCCCUGCCUACACCUCUGCUUAAAUUCAUCCUUCACGUAAAUUGAUCUUCCUUACAACACAGUCUUCUGAUAUCUCAUCCAUCCUUCAAGGCCUGGUUGGAACGCUACUGUCUCCAUGAAGCCUUCCUCAGUAACCCAGACAGAAAUCCUUUCCCUCUGCUUUAUGUACUUCCACAGCUCUUUUCUUAAUAUUACUCCUGUAGGACUUGCCACACUAAACCUUGUAGCAUGGAUAUUUGUGCCCAUCUCAUCUCAUCUGACCCACUUGACUUCAGUGUCGUGUCCUGGGGUUGAGCAGGCAGAGAUCAUAUGUCUUCAUUAUGUCUGUGUGUUACCCUAGCAUCUAACACUAUGUCUUGAUCAUGCCAGGAAUUUAAUAAAUAUGCAUUGAUAUAAACUGAAUUAAUAUUGAUUAUUGGGCAUCAUUUCAAAAAAUGGCUUUGGUAAGUUGUCUGCUUGGUGAACACCAUCUUUUGUUCUUUGAAGCCAAGUGCUAUGGGGACAAAAAAAAUAAAGCAAAAUGUUUCCACCCUUAUAAGACUUUCUUGUUCAUAGUGAUAAGGCCGUAACUGUUGCUUUCAUUUUCUUCCUUCAGCUCAAGACAUCCUCGUCCAGGCAUGAAAUUGGUGCCUUGGUGUUUUUGUUUUCAUUUUCACAAAUAUUCUUCAGGAUAUUUCCUUCUCCAACUAGAAGGUCUGUUGAGGGCCAGGCAGGGCAAUCGCUGGGAUAUAGACCGAAAUCACUCAUGGUUUGAGUUUUGUCUCCCUCCAAGUUUCCAAACACCUUAAGCAUGUAGGGGACAAGGGAGAGCUUUCCCCUUGGCCUUCUGAAGGUUUGCUGAAAAAUCAACUCACAAAAAGCAGAUUAAUUGGAGAAAAUACAUAAACAUUUAUUAAAUGUGCAUACACAGGAGCAUUCAGAAUGAAGACCGACAGAUACAGGAGAACAGUGUCCAUUUUUAUGCUUAGGUUAACAAAGUAUGAACAGCUGUGUAGAAAUAUGAUUAGACAAAAAGGAUAUGACCUAAUGCUAGUGGACUAAGUGGGGUUACCCAGUGAGGCUGGUCUGUCUAGGUCCUUCUUGGCUUCUUUGUGCAGCUUUCCUUCCUUCUGGGUGUGGGGCAGGCCCUUCUCAAGAAUGGGGAGUCUUAUGAACUACAGUCAAACAAGGUAGGUCAGAUAAUUUAUUUUAGGGCAGUUUUUACUUUGAAAGGCAGAGGGAAAAUUAGAGCAAUACUUUUAGGUUUUAUGAAGGGCUUGUGGGCAAAGAGGUUCUAGUUUCUAUGUCCCACCUUGGGGAAAAGGGAUUUGUAGUUUCUUUGGCUAAAGCUAGCCUCAGGGGAGAAUGGGACUGAGAGACAAGAGGGAAGGAGAAGGUCAAAAAAACACUUGCUUCUGAGGCCUUCAUUUCGGGAUAUUGUUUUCCGAGCCCCAACAAGCACAAGAACAGUGGCUUCCAUUUUUCUUGUAUCCUCUCUAGCAUCUCUCUGUCUAUAUGGGCACACAAUGUGAGUCCUGAAAUAGUACAGCAGCGACUCCCCACUCUGAAUUCCACUGUGCUAUGUCUCUUCCCUCUGACUCUCAUCACUUUCUACCUUUUAAAGUUAUGUGUAUGUGCAUGUUUCACUUUUCCCUCUACACUGCAGAUUAUCUGAAGUAGAAUUUAUGCAUUCACAAAACCUACUACUUAGCAAUCAAUGUCUGUUGGACAGAUGAAUAACUAAAUAAAUAGAGGGAAGCACCUAAUCUUGGGAAUAAUAGAGAGAAAAAGUUAUUCCAAAAAGGAAAAGGAGGCGGAUGAUUAUCAGUGGCUCCUGAUUUCAAUACAAAAACCUAGCAUAUUCUUGGGGCACAUGUAUACUUAUUUGCAGCAACAAUAUCAGGGUCUAAUGGACAGAACCAAAAGAUAUAUGAGAGAAUCUAUGGAAUAUUCAUUUUGGCUGUCUUUGACUACAAAAGGCUUCUAAGAAAAGCCAUUCUGAUAAAUAAUAAUGAUAAUAAUAUCUAAUGUUUAUUGACCUCUUGCUAUGGGCCAGCCACUAUGCUAAGAGCUUAUGCAUGUUAUUUCAUUUAAUCUUCCCAAUAACCCCAUAAGAUAAAUGCUAUUUUUACCCUUUUAAAAUUAUAGCUUCAUAAGAGGUUAAAUAAAGUACUCAAGGUCUCAAGACAGGAAGUGGUAGAGCUGGGAUGCCAAUCCAGUUGAUACAAUGUCAGAGACUAAACUCGUGACCUCUGCUACAAAUUCUCAUUUAUAAAAUUUCCUUGCCAGAAGCUGCUAGAAGCUCCAGUCCUGUUUGCAAGGUUGUCUUUGACAAAAAUUAAGAAAAACUUUGUUGCAUAAUGUACACUGUUUCUUGUACAUCCAUCCAAGGGUAUCUAAUUAAAGAAAAAUGAUAAGACAUUUUGAUACAUUAUAAUGCACUGGGGAACAUCCCUGGUGAGGAUAAAAUACCAAAUAUUUUCUGUACAGU